This 206-nucleotide ribosomal RNA is filed under the name uncultured bacterium. RNAcentral's name for it is "partial 16S ribosomal RNA". It matches the Rfam family "Bacterial small subunit ribosomal RNA", at positions 356 to 553 of the family's 1533-position model. The record is from RNAcentral.
AGGGAAUCUUCGGCAAUGGGGGCAACCCUGACCGAGCAACGCCGCGUGAGUGAAGAAGGUUUUCGGAUCGUAAAGCUCUGUUGUAAGUCAAGAACGGUGUGAGAGUGGAAAGUUCACACUGUGACGGUAGCUUACCAGAAAGGGACGGCUAACUACGUGCCAGCAGCCGCGGUAAUACGUAGGUCCCCGAGCGUUGUCCGGAUUUA